This 248-nucleotide long non-coding RNA is filed under the name Cyanistes caeruleus (blue tit). Its description in RNAcentral is "lncRNA (ENSCCEG00000023874.1)". Lineage: Eukaryota; Metazoa; Chordata; Aves; Passeriformes; Paridae. The record is from RNAcentral.
GAGCAAAGGAAUGCUCCUGUAACUGCAGAAGAUUCUCAAAGGAAUAAUUCUAAAUGUGAUGUCAGAAGAAUACAAAAUGUACUAAUUGCAAACUUAGUUCUGACCCUGACUACUCAAUAUAACAAGACUUUGAAGGUUUGCAUGGUGGUAAACCUAAUUGCUAAGUUGCAAUGCAAGGUUUUCAUGCUGUGGAAUCUCUUCCAGGGAACAUACAAUUUGUCAAAAUUAAAGAGCACUAUAAUGUGAAU